ACUUUCUUAGUAUCAAUCAGUACACGUGACUUCCAAUCACAUAGUCUCAGUUAAACUCUGAGAGAAAGUA
Molecule: transfer RNA, 70 nt
Filed under: Xenopus muelleri (Muller's clawed frog)
Lineage: Eukaryota; Metazoa; Chordata; Amphibia; Anura; Pipidae
Description: tRNA-Gly
Rfam family: tRNA
About the family: Transfer RNA (tRNA) molecules are approximately 80 nucleotides in length. Their secondary structure includes four short double-helical elements and three loops (D, anti-codon, and T loops). Further hydrogen bonds mediate the characteristic L-shaped molecular structure. tRNAs have two regions of fundamental functional importance: the anti-codon, which is responsible for specific mRNA codon recognition, and the 3' end, to which the tRNAs corresponding amino acid is attached (by aminoacyl-tRNA synthetases). tRNAs cope with the degeneracy of the genetic code in two manners: having more than one tRNA (with a specific anti-codon) for a particular amino acid; and 'wobble' base-pairing, i.e. permitting non-standard base-pairing at the 3rd anti-codon position.
Source: RNAcentral